UUCCGAUGGUGAACCUGCGGAGGGAUCAUUACCGAGUUUACAACUCCCAAACCCCUGUGAACAUACCACUUGUUGCCUCGGCGGAUCAGCCCGCUCCCGGUAAAACGGGACGGCCCGCCAGAGGACCCCUAAACUCUGUUUCUAUAUGUAACUUCUGAGUAAAACCAUAAAUAAAUCAAAACUUUCAACAACGGAUCUCUUGGUUCUGGCAUCGAUGAAGAACGCAGCAAAAUGCGAUAAGUAAUGUGAAUUGCAGAAUUCAGUGAAUCAUCGAAUCUUUGAACGCACAUUGCGCCCGCCAGUAUUCUGGCGGGCAUGCCUGUUCGAGCGUCAUUUCAACCCUCAAGCACAGCUUGGUGUUGGGACUCGCGUUAAUUCGCGUUCCUCAAAUUGAUUGGCGGUCACGUCGAGCUUCCAUAGCGUAGUAGUAAAACCCUCGUUACUGGUAAUCGUCGCGGCCACGCCGUUAAACCCCAACUUCUGAAUGUUGACCUCGGAUCAGGUAGGAAUACCCGCUGAACUUAAGCAUAUCAAUAAGCGGAGGA
This 545-nucleotide ribosomal RNA is filed under the name Fusarium oxysporum. RNAcentral describes it as "eukaryotic LSU rRNA". The stretch from base 180 to 333 matches the Rfam family "5.8S ribosomal RNA". The record is from RNAcentral. Lineage: Eukaryota; Fungi; Ascomycota; Sordariomycetes; Hypocreales; Nectriaceae.